UAUUUUACCUGGUACAAUAUGAGAUGAAACGAGAUGGCUGUGGCAGUGAAAUUUGGUGGUGAAGCUGCAGAAGAAGCAACUGUAAGAGGCCACUUGCCCAGGUAAGGUGCAUGGCUGGGCAGCAGCUGUUGGCCUCUGGAAUUUGGCUCCUUUUCCUUCCCUCCAGCUCCCAGCGCCCGGGGGCAGCAGUCAGCUGCAAAGCUCCACAGAGCGCCAGGAGAGCUGCCAGCUUUCACACGCAUCCGCUACUCGACCACAUGCAGAAGAAAAUAUCUAGCAAGAAACAAACAAAAUUAAUCACCAGUGGAAGGAUUCUAAAUGCAGAUCUCCAUGGAAAUAAAAGGCAAGCCUGGCUCUGUUCAGGCAGUAUCACAUGAGUUACAGUAAUAAUGCAGAAGAGGAAUGGAGUCCUGUUGGGCAGUCCCAAAGCAGAUUCCCUGCAAUUCAGUGCUACUUGAUGGGGUACAUAUUGCCGGCUGACUUGCUCCAGGAAUGAGGGAACACGUCCAUGUUGGAGCAGUGAAUAAGAAGCCUGUGUUGUCCUCAGGAAUAGCAGUCACCUGAUGUGAGCCAUAAAUAUUUGAAAGUAAACAUUAUUGCCAUGCCAUCUGCUGAGAAAAGCCGGAAUCUCAGCUGUCAACGCUACUCUCUGGAGAAGCCAGCAAAGGCAAGGGUCCAGAGGCUUGCCAUUCCAUACAGCCGUGUCUGCAUUUUUUUCUUCAUCCUUAAAACACGUUUAGGAAAGGUAAUUGAGUGUAUUUUAAUUAAAAAUUAAUGGUGUCAACAACCAUUUUUUUUCUGGGGCUUGAUCUUAAUAAAACUUGGAGUUAUGAGAUUUCAUUUCUGUUCUUAGC
This is a long non-coding RNA of Cuculus canorus (common cuckoo), 854 nucleotides long. RefSeq lists it as uncharacterized. NCBI's taxonomy places the organism in Eukaryota, Metazoa, Chordata, Aves, Cuculiformes, Cuculidae. The record is from RefSeq and is a predicted model, not a curated record. The transcript is spliced from 3 exons.